UGGCGGACGGGUGAGUAAUGUCUGGGUAACUGCCUGAUGGAGGGGGAUAACUACUGGAAACGGUAGCUAAUACCGCAUAACGUCGCAAGACCAAANAGGGGGACCUUCGGGCCUCUUGCCAUCGGAUGUGCCCAGAUGGGAUUAGCUAGUAGGUGGGGUAAAGGCUCACCUAGGCGACGAUCCCUAGCUGGUCUGAGAGGAUGACCAGCCACACUGGAACUGAGACACGGUCCAGACUCCUACGGGAGGCAGCAUG
Molecule: ribosomal RNA, 256 nt
Filed under: uncultured bacterium
Lineage: Bacteria
Description: partial 16S ribosomal RNA
Rfam family: Bacterial small subunit ribosomal RNA
Source: RNAcentral